RNAcentral lists this ribosomal RNA (433 nucleotides) under uncultured bacterium. RNAcentral describes it as "partial 16S ribosomal RNA". It matches the Rfam family "Bacterial small subunit ribosomal RNA", at positions 29 to 507 of the family's 1533-position model. The record is from RNAcentral.
AACGAACGCUGGCGGCAUGCCUAACACAUGCAAGUCGAACGAGACCUUCGGGUCUAGUGGCGCACGGGUGCGUAACGCGUGGGAACCUGCCCUUAGGUUCGGAAUAACUCCCCGAAAGGGGUGCUAAUACCGGAUAAUGUCUUCGGACCAAAGAUUUAUCGCCUUUGGAUGGGCCCGCGUUGGAUUAGCUAGUUGGUAGGGUAAAAGCCUACCAAGGCGACGAUCCAUAGCUGGUCUGAGAGGAUGAUCAGCCACACUGGGACUGAGACGCGGCCCAGACUCCUACGGGAGGCAGCAGUGGGGAAUAUUGGACAAUGGGCGAAAGCCUGAUCCAGCAAUGCCGCGUGAGUGAUGAAGGCCUUAGGGUUGUAAAGCUCUUUUACCCUGGAAGAUAAUGACAGUACCGGGAGAAUAAGCUCCGGCUAACUCCGUG